RNAcentral lists this ribosomal RNA (492 nucleotides) under uncultured bacterium. Its description in RNAcentral is "partial 16S ribosomal RNA". It matches the Rfam family "Bacterial small subunit ribosomal RNA", at positions 29 to 507 of the family's 1533-position model. The record is from RNAcentral.
AGUGAACGCUGGCGGUAGGCCUAACACAUGCAAGUCGAACGGCAGCACCGUAAGAGCUUGCUCUUACGGGUGGCGAGUGGCGGACGGGUGAGGAAUACAUCGGAAUCUACUUUUUCGUGGGGGAUAACGUAGGGAAACUUACGCUAAUACCGCAUACGACCUACGGGUGAAAGCAGGGGAUCUUCGGAGCUUGCGGGAUUGAAGGGGGCGAUGUCGGAUUAGCUAGUUGGCGGGGUAAAGGCCCACCAAGGCGACGAUCCGUAGCUGGUCUGAGAGGAUGAUCCGCCACACUGGAACUGAGACACGGUCCAGACUCCUACGGGAGGCAGCAGUGGGGAAUCUUGGACAAUGGGCGCAAGCCUGAUCCAGCCAUACCGCGUGGGUGAAGAAGGCCUUCGGGUUGUAAAGCCCUUUUGUUGGGAAAGAAAAGCAGCAGGUUAAUCCCCCGCUGUUCUGACGGUACCCAACGAAUAAGCACCGGCUAACUUCGUG